CAAUAGCGUAUAUUAAAGUUGUUGCAGUUAAAAAGCUCGUAGUUGGAUUUCUGGUGGGAGCGAUCGGUCUGGCGCUUAGCGCGAGUACUUGCAUCGUCUCCGGCCAUCCUUGGGGAGAGUCUGUCUGGCAUUAGGUUGUCGGGCAGAGGAUCCUCAUCGUUUACUGUGAAAAAAUUAGAGUGUUCAAAGCAGGCUUAUGCCGUUGAAUAUAUUAGCAUGGAAUAAUAAGAUAGGACUUUGGUACUAUUUUGUUGGUUUGCGCACCAAAGUAAUAAUUAAUAGGGACAGUUGGGGGUAUUCGUAUUCCGUUGUCAGAGGUGAAAUUCUUGGAUUUACGGAAGACGAACUACUGCGAAAGCAUUUACCAAGGAUGUUUUCAUUAA
Molecule: ribosomal RNA, 383 nt
Filed under: uncultured eukaryote
Lineage: Eukaryota
Description: partial 18S ribosomal RNA
Rfam family: Eukaryotic small subunit ribosomal RNA
Source: RNAcentral